ACACUCCGCCCCGCUUUGGGUGUCCCGCCACCGCGGGAUGAAACGGGAAACCGGUGCGCCUGGCCGUGCAAACGCACGUGCCGGCAAUUCCGGUGCUGCCCCCGCAACGGUAAGCAAGUUCCGCCGGUCCAGACGCCACUGCGCGAUGCGCGGGAAGGCGGGCCGGCCGAUGCCACGGCAUCGCUUGCGAGUCCGGAGACCGGCCCGAUGCGGGACGCUCGC
This 222-nucleotide non-coding RNA is filed under the name Dokdonella koreensis. The record is from RNAcentral. Lineage: Bacteria; Pseudomonadati; Pseudomonadota; Gammaproteobacteria; Lysobacterales; Rhodanobacteraceae. RNAcentral also lists the same sequence under 1 other name.